RNAcentral lists this ribosomal RNA (253 nucleotides) under uncultured bacterium. RNAcentral's name for it is "partial 16S ribosomal RNA". It matches the Rfam family "Bacterial small subunit ribosomal RNA", at positions 524 to 776 of the family's 1533-position model. The record is from RNAcentral.
UACGUAGGGGGCAAGCGUUGUCCGGAAUCACUGGGCGUAAAGGGUGCGUAGGCGGGUCUUUAAGCCAGGGGUGAAAUCCUGGAGCUCAACUCCAGAACUGCCUUUGAUACUGAAGAUCUUGAGUCCGGGAGAGGUGAGUGGAACUGCGAGUGUAGAGGUGAAAUUCGUAGAUAUUCGCAAGAACACCAGUGGCGAAGGCGGCUCACUGGCCCGGUACUGACGCUGAGGCACGAAAGCGUGGGGAGCAAACAGG